GUAGUCCACGCCGUAAACGAUGGAUGCUAGCUGUGGGGGGUAUCGACCCCUUCCGUAGCGAAGCUAACGCGUUAAGCAUCCCGCCUGUGGAGUACGGCCGCAAGGCUAAAACAUAAAGGAAUUGACGGGGACCCGCACAAGCGGUGGAGCAUGUUCUUUAAUUCGAUGGUAACCGAUAAACCUUACCAGGGUUUGACAUCCUUCGAAUUGCUCCGAAAGGAACAAGUGCUUUUUAGAACGAAGUGACAGGUGCUGCAUGGCCGUCGUCAGCUCGUGUCGUGAGAUGUUUGGUUAAGUCCAUCAACGAGCGCAACCCCUAUGAAUAGUUGGAUUUUUCUAUUCAGACUGCC
This 350-nucleotide ribosomal RNA is filed under the name uncultured bacterium. RNAcentral describes it as "bacterial SSU rRNA". It matches the Rfam family "Bacterial small subunit ribosomal RNA", at positions 790 to 1153 of the family's 1533-position model. The record is from RNAcentral.